Long non-coding RNA from Musca domestica (house fly), 458 nucleotides. RefSeq lists it as uncharacterized. The record is from RefSeq and is a predicted model, not a curated record. NCBI's taxonomy places the organism in Eukaryota, Metazoa, Arthropoda, Insecta, Diptera, Muscidae. The transcript has 2 exons.
UUUCGGAAGACAAACUCGUCGAUUUUGUUUUUUUUUUUCGCAAAGUUUGCAUUUUGUUGACCCUUUUGUUUUUCGAUUUUCCAAUUUUACUUGACCACCAGCGACCGCUCGUACCAAAUAUAAUUGAUACAGAAUGCAUGUUUCAUGACCUUUAGAGGUUUUCUACCCUGCAACAAUUUGGAAGUGACUUACUCACCCCCUCUCUAAGAUGCCAAACUACUACUUUGUAGCCCCAAGGAAGAUAAAAGAAGUGUCACGCAUGGUAGACGAGUACGAGGGCAGUUCGGAAACUUCUUUGCCUGUCACAAAAAGCGUCCAUCUGGCAACUGCUUCACAUAGAAACAGGCGUUCAAAGAAAGACGCAUCCGCAUUUUUUUUUACAAUGGAAAAAUUAGAAAUGUGAUAUGCGUCAUUAAAUAUUAACAUAAUAAAGGUUUAUCUUCUUUUUAUUCCUCAUA